CAAUAGCGUAUAUUAAAGUUGUUGCGGUUAAAAAGCUCGUAGUUGGAUUUCUGCUGAGAACGACCGGUCCGCCCUCUGGGUGUGUAUCUGGCUCUUUCUUGGCAUCUUCUUGGUGAACGUUGCUGCACUUGACUGUGUGGAGCGCUACCCAGGACUUUUACUUUGAGGAAAUUAGAGUGUUUCAAGCAGGCAUACGCCUUGAAUACAUUAGCAUGGAAUAAUAAGAUAGGACCUCGGUUCUAUUUUGUUGGUUUCUAGAGCUGAGGUAAUGAUUAAUAGGGAUAGUUGGGGGCAUUCGUAUUUAACUGUCAGAGGUGAAAAUCUUGGAUUUGUUAAAGACGGACUACUGCGAAAGCAUUUGCCAAGGAUGUUUUCAUUG
RNAcentral lists this ribosomal RNA (379 nucleotides) under uncultured eukaryote. RNAcentral describes it as "partial 18S ribosomal RNA". It matches the Rfam family "Eukaryotic small subunit ribosomal RNA", at positions 592 to 975 of the family's 1831-position model. The record is from RNAcentral.